GAUGAACGCUAGCGAUAGGCCUAACACAUGCAAGUCGAGGGGCAUCACAUGAAGUAGCAAUACGGAUGGUGGCGACCGGCGCACGGGUGAGUAACACGUAUGCAACCUGCCUUCAACAAGGGGAUAACCCGUUGAAAGACGGACUAAUACCCUAUAACACAGGGGUCCCGCAUGGGAAUAUUUGUUAAAGGACAACCGGUUGAAGAUGGGCAUGCGUUCCAUUAGCUAGUUGGCGGGGUAAGGGCCCACCAAGGCAACGAUGGAUAGGGGAACUGAGAGGUUUAUCCCCCACACUGGUACUGAGACACGGACCAGACUCCUACGGGAGGCAGCAGUAAGGAAUAUUGCUCAAUGGCCGAAAGGCUGAAGCAGCAACGCCGCGUGGAGGAUGAAAUACUUUUGUAUGUAAACUCCUGUAAGAAGGGAAAAUAUUUCGAUUUAUCGGAAUUGAUUGUACCUUCAGAGUAAGCACCGGCUAACUACGUGCCAGCAGCCGCGGUAAGU
This 504-nucleotide ribosomal RNA is filed under the name uncultured bacterium. RNAcentral describes it as "bacterial SSU rRNA". It matches the Rfam family "Bacterial small subunit ribosomal RNA", at positions 28 to 525 of the family's 1533-position model. The record is from RNAcentral.